AGGAAUUUGGUAGCAUUUAUAUUUCUUUUGAUUUCUGUUCAUAGAGGAAUUCACUCAAGAUUCAAUAGCAGAUCUCAAACACGUAAUGACAAACACUUUAGUAUUUUGACAUUUGUACAUGCGUUCAGUAGCAUCUAGCUACAUUACUAAAUAGAGUUUACAUGCAAGACAAUAAGACCUUUUGUUCAAACUAAGCUACACAAAUGGUUUGAGCUGCGAAUACAAGAAACGUCAUGUAGUCUUCAAGUGCUAUCAUGUAGAAGAAACAUCAUGUAGACGUGAAGUGCUAUCAUGUAGAAGAAACAUCGUGUAGAUAGUGCAGAAGAUCUUCCAACGAUGAUGCCAACCUGAACAGAGAAGAUGGUAGAACUGCUAUAAGCUAAUAAUCUUGGUAAAUAUCUAUAUUGUAGCACAAAAAAUGGACAUAGUCUCAGACAUCAAACACUAAUGGCUCGCCUCUUGAGGGGGGAUUUUGCGUGCCAGAGGAUAUGGGCACAUAGUUGAUAGAAAAGUUUGACAGGAACCUGCAUGAAUAAUCCAUUAAUCGUCAUGUCCUAACAUGUUCUCGGCUCUGCUACUAGCACUUGUACUGGCAUAAAUUUACUUGCAAACGUACCAGCUGAAUUGCUCUGUUAAAGAAAAGCUUUGGAUUAAAUAUAGCUUCUAAAUAUUAGCCACCAAAAGGUCGGCCAAACUUUGCUGAAGCCCUGCAAAUGAGCAUAAGAUGUGCAUAUAUGUAACCGCAGAGAAAAUAGUUAGUUCAAGGUAUUGGAAGGAUAUAAAAGACCUGCACCCAGCGACAUAAACAAAGUUUUACACAUCCAGUCUUCCUAAUCAAUUUAAGAAUUCAUCACAAAUUUUAAUGAUCAAAAUAUUCAGACCAACGACAACAGGUUUUAACUAAAAAAGGUCAUAUAAAAUCAUGACAAUUGUAAAAGAAAGGAGAAGGGAAAUUACUUGUUGCUUCUUUUACAUCUCCUUGCAUAAAGCUAGGACUCUAGAAUCAAUUAAUAUGUCGAGAAUCAAUGAAAUAAACUAAAUAACCACCAUAAUUGCCAUCUUGUACAUGAGCUUGUUGUUUAUACUUUGAUAUCUAGUUAAGCAAAGAACAGAAAACACUUGGACAUAGUUUAUUCACAUAAGAUUCAAAGAUAUGAAACCAGGCUGCCAAAUAAUCAUGUUAUUUACACAAGGUAGAAGCUCGUAAAGAAGACAUUAAUCAAGUAGUAGCAUCAACCAGAAUGAGCAGAAUAUCUACACAUACGUUUUGACAAGUACAGAAUGAGCAAGUAUCUCAAUUCUCCUCCAUGCACAAGACUUUGAGUUGUAAAUGAACUUGGUUCCUAAAGAUUUGUCUAGAAAUAACUAAAAUAUACAUGAGAUAGGAUCAGAUAAGUAUUCCAAAGCAAGUAGUCAUAUCAUGUUUUAAAACAGAUGCGUAGCUGACAGAACACCAAUUUCUGCUAGCAUCAUUUUCAACUUUCAGUGUGUAUCUAUAGCAAGGUUCCUGAUGUGUACAAAAUACAAAAAAGUGUAAUGCCACUAUGCUAGGUCAGCCACUUUUUACACAUAAAAAAGUACUGGACUAUGCAUAGGAAUACAAGAGAAGGCAUCACCUAUGCUCUUCAUAAAUGGUUAUAUGUCAGGAGACCAACGACUCUGUUUCAAGUACUGCCCAAUAACAAAAGACUAAUCUUCAGAAUACACAGGGCAUGUAAAAGCUCAGUUCCAGGACAUGUAAAAGCUUCCAGUAGUUGUAUGCAUAAAAAGACUAAUCAAAUUCAGGGCAUGUAUACAGAUGGCAAGCAAAAUCUCAGUUCAUAUGUUUACUGCAGUUUCAUUUGCAUGAAGCAUAUAAGAAACGAAAUGCUAAAUAAGUUUCAAUGUUCUGAAAUAGCAGCAAACAUGUAUCCAAAAGUAAAUAUAUAAUCAUAAGAGCAUAAGCUUAUGUGCUUGUAUGGAGUAGUUGACACUGCUUGGAGAGGACAAAGAAGAUGUACGCUGCUCACAAGACAAACAAUCCAAAAAAAUAUUUCAGUGAAAGCAUCAAAUGAAAAUUAGGGAACAGUUUGUAAGAAUUACAUAUAGGAGAAAAGAGCAUGGUACUCAGCUAGCCUCAUGUCCUAAUUCUUCCAAUUUUUCUACUUAGGAGCAUAGCUCCCAAUUUCCAUUACUGAAAACAUCAGAGACUAAGCCACACACACCAGCACUACUACCAAACCUAGACGCACAACCUAAACAACAAGCAUCCAAACGUUCUAAUUAUCAGCAACAAAACAGCAGUCUUAUAUUACUCGUGGCCCUGCAUGACAAGGUACUGUACUGCUAGGGUUAUAUUACUUGUACAUGGCACUGCCAGUAGACCCUUUUCCAAAAUCUGAACCACAUGCACAUCUUAAGCUGUGUACCAUCUCUAUGAACAUAGCUAUGGAUGUAUUUGUUCUUAAGUGUUAAGCUAAAUAAAAGAAGUUUUAACAAUAGGGGAUCUUGUAAUUUAAUAAGUCAUGAUGCCAUGCUAUUUCCAGUAGUGGUGACAGUACAAAACCAAAUUGCUAUCAUUUUACUCUAGAAAAAAUAAAUUAUCAAGCAAAUGUUUUUCAAUUCAAUAAUAAAGGUUGCAACACUUGAAGGGAUUUCUACUAUGAUAGACAACUAUUGAUCAUAAAAUUCCAGAAUCGGAUGACUGGGAGCAGUGGCAAACUAGAAAUAGAAAAUUAUAGAAGAAAAUUCCAGAUCAAACCCCAUAUAUCUAUAUUCAUAGAACUAACACAUUCUUUUUUGCGGGGUCAUAGAACUAACACAUUCACUAGUUAAAAUUGUUUAACUCUAGAAGUGGUACUCCACUUUCAGUCUACAUUUGCACCAAAAUAUACAGAAAGAAGUUCUCUAGCUAUAUUUGCAGCACGGCCUUUAAACUUAUCUUCCCAGAGCUUGCAUGUAGUACUCCUACUGGGAUUCACUGAUUUAGUAUGCAGUUGUAGCGACAAUUUGCUGCAAUGGAAGAUCUCCUCACCAUAAGAAAAACUUGGGGCUAGCCGUUAUUUUCACAAAUGUACUGUCAUAUAAACUCAAAACACUUUCUGAAGUUGUUCUAGUUACUGGUCAGAAGAAAAAGGGAACAAAAGUUUACAAAGAAUGAAAUCUCACCGGCCAAGUGCUCUCGGUGGGCAAGGAGGCGGCGCUGCACCUGGGGGAGGAUGUACAGGAGGUGGAGCUUCUCGGGAGAGGGGCCCUGCUCAGGUGAGGGAAACAUGAGGCAGCCCAACUUAGUGCUCGGGGAGGGAUGCUCGUGGAGGAGGAGGCCCUGCUUGGGGGAGAAAGCUUGAGGAGGAGGAGGCCUGCUCGGCGGAGGAAACCUGCGGAGGAGGUGGCUGUUGUGGUGGGGAUGGAGGGCGAUCGGCGACUUUCCUCGGGAGGAAGCAGGCGCUAGGUGCAGCAGGGGAUGGGGAGGAAGCGGCCAAGGGAUUCGUCGGUGUAGGAGGGUGCUCGGCGACGACUAGGCGGUCGGCGGCGACUGUGCUCGGGGCGGAAGCCUACGCUGAGGUGGAGUGGCUGGUGGAGGUGGUGGCGGCGGCGUGGUCUGGUUGGACGCGGCGGCGUGGUCGGGUUGGAGGGUUAGGUUUUGCAAGAUUUGGGGAAGAAAUGGUCAGGGCGAU
This 3656-nucleotide long non-coding RNA is filed under the name Triticum aestivum (bread wheat). Its description in RNAcentral is "long non-coding RNA (TAES_LNC005648)". Lineage: Eukaryota; Viridiplantae; Streptophyta; Magnoliopsida; Poales; Poaceae. The record is from RNAcentral.